CACUGAAAAAUACAGCUUUUCAGGUUGUGCUUUUAGAAUCUCGGGAUAGAAUUGGUGGUCGAGUUCACACUGACUACUCAUUUGGUUUUCCUGUAGACAUGGGAGCAGCCUGGUUGCAUGGUGUCUGCAACGAGAAUCCAUUGGCAUCAUGGAUUGGAAGACUUGGUCUACCAAUUUAUCGAACUUCUGGUGACAAUUCUAUCUUGUAUGAUCAUGACUUGGAGAGCUACGCACUCUUUGAUGGUGAUGGACAUCAAGUGCCUCAAGAUCUAGUGGAAAAAG
Zingiber officinale is the source of this 282-nucleotide long non-coding RNA. RefSeq lists it as uncharacterized. The transcript has 4 exons. NCBI's taxonomy places the organism in Eukaryota, Viridiplantae, Streptophyta, Magnoliopsida, Zingiberales, Zingiberaceae. The record is from RefSeq and is a predicted model, not a curated record.